This is a non-coding RNA of Chelonoidis abingdonii (Abingdon island giant tortoise), 122 nucleotides long. The record is from RefSeq and is a predicted model, not a curated record. NCBI's taxonomy places the organism in Eukaryota, Metazoa, Chordata, Testudines, Testudinidae.
AACGCAGGCUAAUCAGGGCACCUGGGUUUAAAAAGGAGCUCACUCCAGUCAGGGGAAUGGGAGCCAGAGCAAGAAAGAAGUGCGUGUGAGGAGCUGGGAGCAAGAGGCAACAAGGAACUGAG